Mycena floridula is the source of this 96-nucleotide non-coding RNA. NCBI's taxonomy places the organism in Eukaryota, Fungi, Basidiomycota, Agaricomycetes, Agaricales, Mycenaceae. The record is from the annotation of a GenBank genome assembly.
UCCGGUAUGGUGUAACGGCUAACAUUGCCGCCUUUCAUAACCCUCUUGAAUAGCAUUAAUACGCGGCAGCUCGGGGUUCGAUUCCCCGUACCGGAA